UCGAACUCCUGGGCUCAAGCCAUCUGCCCAAAGUGCUAGAGUUAUAGGUGCAAGCCACUGUGCAAAGCCAAAAGUUCACUUCAACCUGUCACUUUCCCCCCUCAUCUUCACCCCAAGCCUCCCUUCCGCCAAUGAAAUCAUCAGCAAGAUGCCUGAGACCGGAAGUCAUCCUGGGCUCCUUCCUCUCCUUCAUUCCAGUGUAUCCCCAGACCUUCUGUAAAAUCUCUCCUGAAUCCAUCCAGUUUUUUCCAUCUCCUCUGUCAACACCUAGUCCAAGCCACCAUUGUCUUUGGCAGGACUGUGGUAGAGGCCUAACUGCUGUCCCUGCAGAUAUUGCUGUUUCUAUUGUAACCCACUCUUCAAUUUGAAACCACAGAUCUUUUUACUAAAAUUAAUCAUUUAGUUUACUAAACAGACCAUUUUACUAAACUGGAUCUUGCUCUCCCACGCAUACGACCCAUUUAUUGACUUCCCAUUGCCCCAGGAUAAAAAUCCAAAUUCUUUAACAGAUCCUUCCCAGCCUGGCUCCCGCCUCCUCCCCAGCCUCCCCUGGCAGUGUGUGUUCCAGCCAUCUGGGACUUCUGUUAUCUCUGGGAUGUGCCAUACUCUUUCUGGCCUCCAAGCCAUUGCAUGCAUUUCUCUUCCAGGAAGACUGUUCCCCCUACUAUUCACUGGGACAGCUCCUACAUGCUCGUCCUGUCUCAGCUUAGCUGUCCCUUCUCAGAAGGUCUGCCUGGACUUCCUACGCCAAGUCAGGCCCCUGCUAGAUCCUGCAGAAUCCCUUUGCUUUACCCAGCAUUGCAUUCAUCACAAUGCAUCAUAAUCACAUCCAUCCAUAAUCGCAUAAUGCUUCCUCUCUAGACGAAGGCUACACGUGGGCAGAGACCUUUACCACCUAGCUUGUUCACUGCUGUCUCUUCCAUGCCCACCACAAGCUUGGAAUGUAGUAGGUGCACAAUAAAUGUUUGUGGAGAAAAGGAAGAAAAGGAGAGGAGAAAAAGAAGAAGGAAAGAGUGGAAGGGGGCAGCCCAACUUUUCUUUCCUCUGCAAGCAGAAAGUAACACAGCUAGCAUCUACUUCUUGCCAGAGGAGAAAAUGGGAGCUGAUGCUACCCACACCCUUUAUUGAGAACUCCCGAGGAAAGGCAUUUUCCCUUGCCCAAAGAUGUAUCCUCAGCGUUUAACUAAGGGCAGGUGUGCAAUAGAGAUUUUUGAAUGAAUUCACUCCUUCUAAGAACUUACUGACCUAGACUAUAACCAAAUGUACAACUAGCCAGAAAAGUGGUUUUUUUUUUUUUUUUUUUUUUGUAAGAAGACUUGAACAACUAUUUGACUUUUUAAAAGCAGGCACAUAUACAUAAACUUUAAUAAAAAUUGAAACCUAAAAGAAAAGAAUCAGGGGGGAACAUUCUCACUCAGGAGCCUAUUGUUACUGCCAACCAAAUCAGGGCAUGAACUUGCAAACAUGGGGCAUGUUGCCUAAAUGCGAUGACACUGCUUCAAAGUCCCAGAACCACUUAAAGAAAAUGCAGUUCAUCCAACUAGACUGAAAUGUAGAUUUUGUUUUCACCAUCUAGAGAUCCAGAAUGGGGGAGAAAAUGAGAACUUUGCAUCAAGAGAGCCCAAAUUUGGGUCCAAGUCCACCACUUACUGCAUGCAUGCCUUUGGGAAACUUAUUCCACCUCUUUGCUUUAUUUUCUUCCCUGUAGAAUGGGGAAACUGAGACCUGCUUUGCAGGGUUGUUUUGAAAACUGAGUAUAAAAUGUAAAGCACCUAGCACUGCCCUGACACAUACCAGGUGUUUAGUAGACUGCACUGUUUAAAUGCAAUUCAAUUAUUUAAAAAUAUAAUUGGGCUCACACAGAAAACAGGGUGCUCAUGAAAUAUUGCUCUCCUAGUGGGAAGAAGCAUGAUUUUUUUUUUUACUGUCCAAGAGGAAAACAGUGGCAGAGAAUAGAAAAGAAAUGUAAGGGAAAUAAAAGCAAGUGAUUUUGAUUUUCACUGGAUCUUAGAGUCACGCUGAAAAUUAAGCAAGGCUUUUCUUUUCACGUUUCUCCUUUCCCUCUGCUAUAGACUAAAUGUUUGUCCACACUCCCCAUUCGUAGUUGAAACCUCAUCUUCAAAGGUGAGUCCUUUGGGAGGUGAUUAGGUUCUGAGGACAGAGCUUUUAUGAGUAGAAUUAUUACGUUGGUGCAAAAGUAAUUGCAGUCUUUGCCAUUAAAAGUAAUGUGUGAUGAGCUGAUGAGCCCAGCUUCCGUGUGAAUUAAAAGUAAUGGCAAAAACCACAAUUACUUUUGCACCAACCUAAUAGCACCUUUAUAAGAGACCCCAGAAAGCUCUCUCACCUUCUUCUGCCAUGUGAGCAUUCAGUGAAAAGACAGCCAUCUAUGAACCAGGAGGCAGGCACACCCCAGACACCCACCUGCUGGCGCCUUGAUCUUGGACUUCCCGGUCUCCAGAACUGCAGGAAAUAAACUUCUGUUGUUGAUAAGCAUCCCCCGGGCUAUGGUAUUUUGUUAUAGCAGCACUCUCGCAGUGCUCAUGAGGAAGGCAGGGAAAUGGGGGCAGGACCUUGGCAGAAGGAAGAAGGAGCCUCAUUUAUCCAACACUGCUCAUCCCUCUAGUGCUUCUUUAAAAAGAAAUGAUAAAUAAAUUUACACUCAGCCAUUGAAAAAAUAUCAUGUUCUCUUAUUUCAAAGGCACAUUAUGUUCAUUUGGGAAGAUUCAAGUAAGCGAAAAGGAGAAAAAAAUUAUCCACAAUUCCACUGCUAGAUAACUACUGAAAACAUUUUGCCGUCUAGCUUUUCAACGUUUUUUCUAGGCAAUAUGUACAUAAACUAACACGUUCUUGUAUAAUGAGUGAGAUCACGUGGGGUAGUACAUGCUGUUCUGUAACCUGAUCUUUUCCAUUGAACAUCUUUCCCUGUUAGUCAGUGGACGUAUCUCACGGCACUGUGGAUGACCGUGGUGUACCCUGACGGGGGCUGGCUAUGUGACACUCUUGGUGGGUGCCCUCCCUGAGCGGAGACCUGUAGCUUGUUUCUCUCUCCCUUCCACAAACAAUGCAUCAAUGAAUAACUUUGUAGUCAAAUUUUAUACAACCCGUAAUUCUUCCUUCACAAUGAACUCUCAGAGUCAAUGUUAAUUUUUGUCAAGAGAAGAAGACAAUAAGACUGUGUUUAAAAUGUUUAAAUCAUCUGUGGGCCUCUUUGGUACAGAGGAGAGGGGGCUGUAACCCAGCUUGAUGCUUUUUAUUUCCGAUUCUGUUCAGCCUCCAAAUUUUAUCUCAAGUGUCACCUUGUUCCUAUUAGACAAACUUAAAAAGUGAACAAGACACAGCCCCUGUUCUUUGAGAUUAAUAUCUAGCAGCAGAAAUAAGAGACACAAUAACUUAUUAUUGCUAAUAAAUGAGUUUUCCUUCUCAUUUAGCAUAAAAGCACCUGACUUUUCAUCAUGAGAAGCAAGAGAACAAAGAUGGACAUAAGUAUUAGGUACUGUGGCCUGAAAACCAGCUUGCAGUCAUCCUCCACGCUGGGGUUCAUGGUGGCCAAUCGGUGUACCUACCACACACCUAUCGGGUUUCCUCAGAUUCCAGUGGCUACCUUGACUGUGGAGAAAGUGAGUCACUCCAGUGUGCACUACCUCCUUGCUCUAUUUCCACCUAAGCCCACUGAGGAACUGCCCUCUGUAAAUCACCAUGACCUUGGUGAUGGCUUUUUCUUUGGCCACCCUAUGUUGGCACAGUUUGAUGCUCUGGCCUGGUUCAAGUCUUUGUGAAUCCAGCCACCGGCAAGCCAAUAAGCCUUCUGAAGACUUCCGGAGGGGUCUCCUGCAGCUGAUGAGGCCCGCGUCCGUGUGAAUCAUACAUACUGUACAUGGAAUUGUGCGUGUCGUAAAAUAAACUUCAGAUUAUUCUCUAGA
Long non-coding RNA from Macaca mulatta (Rhesus monkey), 3920 nucleotides. RefSeq lists it as uncharacterized. The record is from RefSeq and is a predicted model, not a curated record. Lineage: Eukaryota; Metazoa; Chordata; Mammalia; Primates; Cercopithecidae.